CGGGGUGCAGCAGGCGCGAAACCUUAGCAAUGUGCGAAAGCACGACUGGGUCAGUCCGAGUGAUUCCUGAUAAAGGAGUCUUUUACUUGUCCUAAAAGCACAGGUGAAUAAGGGGUGGGCAAGUCUGGUGUCAGCCGCCGCGGUAAUACCAGCACCUCGAGUGGUCAGGACGUUUAUUGGGCCUAAAGCAUCCGUAGCCGGCUUUGCAAGUCUUCGGUUAAAUCCACCUGCUCAACAGAUGGGCCGCUGGAGAUACUACAAAGCUAGGGAGUGGGAGAGGCAGACGGUAUUCAGUGGGUAGGGGUAAAAUCCUUUGAUCCAUUGAGGACCACCAGUGGCGAAGGCGGUCUGCCAGAACACGUUCGACGGUGAGGGAUGAAAGCUGGGGGAGCAAACCGGAUUAGAUACCCGGGUAGUCCCAGCUGUAAACGAUGCAAACUCGGUGAUGCAUUGGCUUAUGGCCAAUGCAGUGCCGCAGGGAAGCCGUUAAGUUUGCCGCCUGGGAAGUACGGACGCAAGUCUGAAACUUAAAGGAAUUGGCGGGGGAGCACAAGGGCGAUUGCG
RNAcentral lists this ribosomal RNA (564 nucleotides) under uncultured archaeon. RNAcentral's name for it is "bacterial SSU rRNA". It matches the Rfam family "Archaeal small subunit ribosomal RNA", at positions 326 to 892 of the family's 1478-position model. The record is from RNAcentral.